This is a non-coding RNA of Meleagris gallopavo (turkey), 697 nucleotides long. The record is from RefSeq and is a predicted model, not a curated record. Lineage: Eukaryota; Metazoa; Chordata; Aves; Galliformes; Phasianidae.
UUGAGUUUGAGGAUGGUUCUCAAAUACUAAUGAAGAGAGAAGAGAUCUAUACCCUAGAUGAAGAGCUUCCUAAAAGAGUGAAAGCACGUUUUUCUACAGCGUCUGACAUGAGAUUUGAAGACACGUUUUAUGGAGCGGAUAUUAUCCUGGGAGAAAAGAAGAGACAGAGAGUACUGAGUUCCCGUUUUAAGAAUGAGUAUGUAGACGAUCCAGGAUACCGCACCUUCUUAAAAAGCUCGUUCGUGAAGAAGUGCCAGAAGGGGCAAUAAAUGAAGUAAUGAAGAGACAAAGACAGACAGACAGGCACACACACACACUGUCUUAGACUGGUCAUAGCUGACUAAAAAGUCAAGCAGCAUUAGUUGCAAUUGGUUUUGAGUUAAUUAAGCACUUGGUUUUACAGUGAGCCAGUUUAUACGUAAGCCUCAUCAGAUAAAGUACUUGAGUUAUUACUUCUUCAGUUAAUGUAAUAAAGAUUUUGUAAUACUUUUCAUUUUGAAACUAGGAGGGAAAACCAAGAGAGAGUAAAACGGAUUACACAGCAAUAGACUGGAGAAAAUUUUUGUUUGAAGUUAGUGGUAAAAAUUCUCUUUGAGUAGUAGAAGAUUCUCAGUCAGAAGAGGAGACACUUUAAUAAACAGAGACAAUUGCACUGGCUCGUUUUUUUUCUGCCGAUAGGGAAAGAUGUUAGGUUUAA